GACGAACGCUGGCGGCGUGCUUAACACAUGCAAGUCGAACGGAAAGGCCCUGCUUGCAGGGUACUCGAGUGGCGAACGGGUGAGUAACACGUGGGUGAUCUGCCCUGCACUUCGGGAUAAGCCUGGGAAACUGGGUCUAAUACCGGAUAGGAGCCAUUUUUAGUGUGAUGGUUGGAAAGUUUUUUCGGUGUAGGAUGAGCUCGCGGCCUAUCAGCUUGUUGGUGGGGUAAUGGCCUACCAAGGCGGCGACGGGUAGCCGGCCUGAGAGGGUGGACGGCCACAUUGGGACUGAGAUACGGCCCAGACUCCUACGGGAGGCAGCAGUGGGGAAUAUUGCACAAUGGGCGCAAGCCUGAUGCAGCGACGCCGCGUGGGGGAUGACGGCCUUCGGGUUGUUAACUGCUUUCGCUAGGGACGAAGCUUUUUGUGACGGUACCUAGAUAAGAAGCACCGGCUAACUACGUG
This 465-nucleotide ribosomal RNA is filed under the name uncultured bacterium. RNAcentral describes it as "partial 16S ribosomal RNA". It matches the Rfam family "Bacterial small subunit ribosomal RNA", at positions 28 to 507 of the family's 1533-position model. The record is from RNAcentral.